This 503-nucleotide ribosomal RNA is filed under the name uncultured Glomus. RNAcentral's name for it is "SSU rRNA". It matches the Rfam family "Eukaryotic small subunit ribosomal RNA", at positions 569 to 1075 of the family's 1831-position model. Lineage: Eukaryota; Fungi; Glomeromycota; Glomeromycetes; Glomerales; Glomeraceae. The record is from RNAcentral.
AGCAGCCGCGGUAAUUCCAGCUCCAAUAGCGUAUAUUAAAGUUGUUGCAGUUAAAAAGCUCGUAGUUGAAUUUCGGGAUCAAUAUGUUGGUCGUGCCUUGGUACGUACUGGCAUUAUCGAUUCCUACCUUCUGAAGAACCUCGAUGUCAUUAAUUUGGUGUCUUGGGGAAUCAGGACUGUUACUUUGAAAAAAUUAGAGUGUUUAAAGCAGGCUCGCGCUUGAAUACAUUAGCAUGGAAUAAUGAAAUAGGACGUUUGAUUCUAUUUUGUUGGUUUCUAGGAUCGACGUAAUGAUUAAUAGGGAUAGUUGGGGGCAUUAGUAUUCAAUUGUCAGAGGUGAAAUUCUUGGAUUUAUUGAAGACUAACUACUGCGAAAGCAUUUGCCAAGGAUGUUUUCAUUAAUCAAGAACGAAAGUUAGGGGAUCGAAGACGAUCAGAUACCGUCGUAGUCUUAACCAUAAACUAUGCCGACUAGGGAUCGGAUGAUGUUAAUUUUUAAUGAC